Molecule: long non-coding RNA, 264 nt
Filed under: Dromaius novaehollandiae (emu)
Lineage: Eukaryota; Metazoa; Chordata; Aves; Casuariiformes; Dromaiidae
Description: lncRNA (ENSDNVG00000008249.1)
Source: RNAcentral
CCAGGUUUCUGCAAUCUACUACAGCCCUCACUGGUGAGUGAAAAAGCAGAGACCGUGCUUUCCAGCGCAAUCCGUGCGGCACCUUUGGCCACUGCUGGUACUGUCUGCAUGAAAGCACACAAGCAGGACUCGGAAAAAGAAAUGAAGGARAAUUUGGAUGGAUUUUUUUUCGCCCAAACCAAAUUUGAUACCGGGAUUUCUGGACUUGUGGAAUAUUUAGAGAAGCUGAGAGCAGUUUGUGCAGCGUUUGGACAAGCACUAACC